GGCAACGUGGCCGAGUGGUUAGGGCGCCGGACUUGAAAUCCGGAGGUUGCGGGUUCAAGUCCCGCUCUGACCA
This 73-nucleotide transfer RNA is filed under the name Orbicella faveolata. RNAcentral describes it as "tRNA-Ser". It matches the Rfam family "tRNA". Rfam says of the family: Transfer RNA (tRNA) molecules are approximately 80 nucleotides in length. Their secondary structure includes four short double-helical elements and three loops (D, anti-codon, and T loops). Further hydrogen bonds mediate the characteristic L-shaped molecular structure. tRNAs have two regions of fundamental functional importance: the anti-codon, which is responsible for specific mRNA codon recognition, and the 3' end, to which the tRNAs corresponding amino acid is attached (by aminoacyl-tRNA synthetases). tRNAs cope with the degeneracy of the genetic code in two manners: having more than one tRNA (with a specific anti-codon) for a particular amino acid; and 'wobble' base-pairing, i.e. permitting non-standard base-pairing at the 3rd anti-codon position. Lineage: Eukaryota; Metazoa; Cnidaria; Anthozoa; Scleractinia; Merulinidae. The record is from RNAcentral.